GAUGAACGCUGGCGGCGUGCCUAAUACAUGCAAGUCGAACGCUUCACUUCGGUGAAGAGUGGCGAACGGGUGAGUAAUACAUAAGUAACCUGGCAUCUACAGGGGGAUAACUGAUGGAAACGUCAGCUAAGACCGCAUAGGUGUAGAGAUCGCAUGAACUCUAUAUGAAAAGUGCUACGGGACUGGUAGAUGAUGGACUUAUGGCGCAUUAGCUUGUUGGUAGGGUAACGGCCUACCAAGGCGACGAUGCGUAGCCGACCUGAGAGGGUGACCGGCCACACUGGGACUGAGACACGGCCCAGACUCCUACGGGAGGCAGCAGUAGGGAAUUUUCGGCAAUGGGGGAAACCCUGACCGAGCAACGCCGCGUGAAGGAAGAAGUAAUUCGUUAUGUAAACUUCUGUCAUAGAGGAAGAACGGUGGAUAUAGGGAAUGAUAUCCAAGUGACGGUACUCUAUAAGAAGGCCACGGCUAACUACGUG
RNAcentral lists this ribosomal RNA (482 nucleotides) under uncultured bacterium. RNAcentral describes it as "partial 16S ribosomal RNA". It matches the Rfam family "Bacterial small subunit ribosomal RNA", at positions 28 to 507 of the family's 1533-position model. The record is from RNAcentral.